AGUUUGUUUAGAGACAGUUCGUUAAUUUGAUGUGGUUAUUUAUAUUACCUUUUGCAUCAUGAUCUAUUGAUGGUUAUUUCGGUUUGAGGUACUCCGAAAGAUGUCGAUAUCUAUCUUUAUUGCUUGGUGUUUUUUUCUAAGGCGGGUAGCCUAGAUGAAAUAAGGAUAGUGUUUUGAUAAAUAAUUCGGGUCAUCUAAUAUCUGGUUGGGGGUUGUUUAUGUUGUUUUAUUUGACGGGCUAUGGUGUCAGUUGAAGGAUUAUAGCAUUUGUGAUUUGGUAGGUUUCUUGGGUUAAAGUUACCCUUGAGAAUUGUGUGUGUUAAUACUCUUUUCUUUUUUAUGUUUGCUUAAAUUAAAAAGCCCCCUUAAUAAUUUGUGUUUCUUAGUAUGAUAGAAUAAGUAGGUUUUAAAUACUUUCAUUUUUUCUCGAUAAUCUUCGGUCUGUUUAUUAAAAACAUUUCUAUCUUUUUUUUUAGAUAGUAGUGCCUGCCCAAUGCUUAUGUCAAUGGCCGCAGUAUUUUGACUGUGCUAAGGUAGCAUAAUUAGUUGCCUCAUAAUUGGGGGAUUGUUUGAAUGGUUUGACCAGAGGACUUAAUUAGAUUGAAAGUUUUUCUGAAAUUGGUUUGUUGGUGCAGAACCCAACAGGAAUUAGUUAGACGGAAAGACCCCGAGAUCUUUAUGUUGUGAUGUUUACUUGGGGCAAGGCUAUAUGUUUUAUGUAGUUUUGGAUCCUUUAGGAUAAUAGGUUUAAGUUACCUCGGGGAUAACUAGGUAAAAAACAAGGAGAGAUCUAAUCGAUUUGUUUAAUUGCCAUCUCGAUGUUGACUUGGGAAAUAUAUUAGGGUGCAGAAGUUUUAAUAUGCGGUCUGUUCGACCUUUAUUCCCUCAUGAGUUGAGUUAAGACCGGCGUGAGCCAGGUCGGUUCUUAUCUACUGUUGUUGUAAAUUAGUACGAAAGGAUUGUUUGCAUUUUAUG
This 975-nucleotide ribosomal RNA is filed under the name Echinostoma miyagawai. RNAcentral's name for it is "16S ribosomal RNA". The stretch from base 625 to 975 matches the Rfam family "Bacterial large subunit ribosomal RNA", at positions 2048 to 2707 of the family's 2925-position model. The record is from RNAcentral. Lineage: Eukaryota; Metazoa; Platyhelminthes; Trematoda; Plagiorchiida; Echinostomatidae.